Long non-coding RNA from Lolium rigidum, 538 nucleotides. RefSeq lists it as uncharacterized. The record is from RefSeq and is a predicted model, not a curated record. Lineage: Eukaryota; Viridiplantae; Streptophyta; Magnoliopsida; Poales; Poaceae. The transcript has 3 exons.
GUUGCAAACACUAUGGAUGGAAGUUUAGGGCACGGCAAUACCGCAAGCAGCGCACCACACAGGCACGACACAGUACCACGUACCAGCCCAGCACAACGCCCACUGCCUUAUCCAGAUCUCGACCUCCCUCUCCCACGAGAAAGCAGUGACAGGCGACAGCGACGAGCUGGAGCUUGGUGGUGCAGAUGGCAGCGGAGCUUGCGGUGCGGCCGCGCUGGACUGGGACGUUCAUCACCUCCCAUGCCCGAUUGACUCCCUCGGCUCGGUCCGCACCCCUUCCUCUGUUUCUAAGUCGGUCUGAUUCAUGUCGAUCUCGCCUGCUCAGAGGAUGAGCAUGCGAGCUGCUUCAUGAUUUGCAGUCUGUCUCGCCUGCUCGCUGUCGAGGUCGCAACUUACCUGCCGUGGAAGAUCUCCUCUACAUCGACAUACGUGAGAAAAUGAGGUCACCUCUCGCAAUUCAGGGAUGGGAGUAUGAAUAUGAGAAACACCUCGCUGACUUCUCAUGUGCUCGAGGUCGAGGAUGAAGAUUAACUCGAGC